This 253-nucleotide ribosomal RNA is filed under the name uncultured bacterium. Its description in RNAcentral is "partial 16S ribosomal RNA". It matches the Rfam family "Bacterial small subunit ribosomal RNA", at positions 524 to 776 of the family's 1533-position model. The record is from RNAcentral.
UACGUAGGGUGCAAGCGUUGAUCGGAAUUACUGGGCGUAAAGGGCGCGUAGGCGGUAGAAAAAGUCGGAUGUGAAAUUCCGGGGCUCAACCCCGGAGCUGCAUUUGAAACUUUUCAACUAGAGUUCAGUUGGGGUAAACGGAAUUCCACGUGUAGCGGUGAAAUGCGUAGAUAUGUGGAAGAACACCGGUGGUGAAGACGGUUUACUAAGCUGAUACUGACGCUGAGGCGCGAAAGCAUGGGGAGCAAACAGG